Non-coding RNA from Podarcis lilfordi (Lilford's wall lizard), 72 nucleotides. The record is from the annotation of a GenBank genome assembly. Lineage: Eukaryota; Metazoa; Chordata; Lepidosauria; Squamata; Lacertidae.
AGGGUCAUAGCUCAGUGGUAGAACAUCUGCUUUGCAUGCAGAAGGUCUCAGGUUCAAUGGCCGGCAUCUCUA